CAGGUUUACCUGUGUGACUGCGUACCUUUUGUAUAAUGGGUCAGCGACUUAUAUUCUGUAGCAAGGUUAACCGAAUAGGGGAGCCGGAGGGAAACCGAGUCUUAAUUGGGCGUUAAGUUGCAGGGUAUAGACCCGAAACCCGGUGAUCUAGCCAUGGGCAGGUUGAAGGUUGGGUAACACUAACUGGAGGACCGAACCGACUAAUGUUGAAAAAUUAGCGGAUGACCUGUGGCUGGGGGUGAAAGGCCAAUCAAACCGGGAGAUAGCUGGUUCUCCCCGAAA
This 282-nucleotide ribosomal RNA is filed under the name Salmonella enterica subsp. enterica serovar Dublin. Its description in RNAcentral is "partial 23S ribosomal RNA". It matches the Rfam family "Bacterial large subunit ribosomal RNA", at positions 580 to 864 of the family's 2925-position model. Lineage: Bacteria; Pseudomonadati; Pseudomonadota; Gammaproteobacteria; Enterobacterales; Enterobacteriaceae. The record is from RNAcentral.